This 836-nucleotide ribosomal RNA is filed under the name uncultured bacterium. RNAcentral's name for it is "bacterial SSU rRNA". It matches the Rfam family "Bacterial small subunit ribosomal RNA", at positions 62 to 900 of the family's 1533-position model. The record is from RNAcentral.
UCGACGAAGCGAUCAGGAGGAAGUUUUCGGAUGGAAUCCGGAUUGACUGAGUGGCGGACGGGUGAGUAACGCGUGGGUAACCUGCCUCAUACAGGGGGAUAACAGUUAGAAAUGACUGCUAAUACCGCAUAGCGCACAGGGACACAUGUUCCGGUGUGAAAAACUCCGGUGGUAUGAGAUGGACCCGCGUCUGAUUAGCUGGUUGGCGGGGUAACGGCCCACCAAGGCGACGAUCAGUAGCCGACCUGAGAGGGUGACCGGCCACAUUGGGACUGAGACACGGCCCAAACUCCUACGGGAGGCAGCAGUGGGGAAUAUUGCACAAUGGGGGAAACCCUGAUGCAGCAACGCCGCGUGAGUGAAGAAGUAUUUCGGUAUGUAAAGCUCUAUCAGCAGGGAAGAAGAUGACGGUACCUGAGUAAGAAGCCCCGGCUAACUACGUGCCAGCAGCCGCGGUAAUACGUAGGGGGCAAGCGUUAUCCGGAUUUACUGGGUGUAAAGGGAGCGUAGACGGUGAGACAAGUCUGAAGUGAAAGCCCGGGGCUCAACCCCGGGACUGCUUUGGAAACUGCCUGACUGGAGUGCUGGAGGGGCAAGCGGAAUUCCUAGUGUAGCGGUGAAAUGCGUAGAUAUUAGGAAGAACACCAGUGGCGAAGGCGGCUUGCUGGACAGUAACUGACGUUGAGGCUCGAAAGCGUGGGGAGCAAACAGGAUUAGAUACCCUGGUAGUCCACGCCGUANACGAUGAAUGCUAGGUGUNGGGGAGCAAAGCUUCUCGGUGCCGCCGCAAACGCAAUAAGCAUUCCACCUGGGGAGUACGUUCGCAAGAAUGAAAC